UGGACAGAUUAUUGUAUUCGACUGUAAUCACUGCUUGAAACAGGGGAUUACACUGUUUUUAAACGGAAAGUGAAUCAAUUAACAUAAUAGACUCCU
Molecule: microRNA precursor, 96 nt
Filed under: Nicotiana attenuata
Lineage: Eukaryota; Viridiplantae; Streptophyta; Magnoliopsida; Solanales; Solanaceae
Description: MIR6152 microRNA precursor family
Rfam family: MIR6152 microRNA precursor family
Source: Rfam by way of RNAcentral